This 445-nucleotide ribosomal RNA is filed under the name uncultured bacterium. RNAcentral describes it as "partial 16S ribosomal RNA". It matches the Rfam family "Bacterial small subunit ribosomal RNA", at positions 354 to 796 of the family's 1533-position model. The record is from RNAcentral.
GUAGGGAAUAUUGGGCAAUGGGUGCAAGCCUGACCCAGCCAUCCCGCGUGCCGGAUGAAGGCCCUCUGGGUCGUAAACGGCUUUUGACGGUGAAGAACCGAAAGGGUGCGCCCUUUUUUGACGGUAGCCGUUGAAUAAGCACCGGCUAACUCCGUGCCAGCAGCCGCGGUAAUACGGAGGGUGCGAGCGUUGUCCGGAUUUAUUGGGUUUAAAGGGUGCGUAGGCUGGAGGGACAGUCAGCGGUGAAAAGCAGUUGCUCAACAAUUGUCUUGCCGCAGAUACUACCGUGCUUGGAUUGGGAGGAGGUUACCGGAACGGAUGGUGUAGCGGUGAAAUGCAUAGAUAUCAUCCAGAACGCCAAUUGCGAAGGCAGGUAACUGUACCUAUAUCGACGCUGAUGCACGAAAGCAUGGGUAGCGAACAGGAUUAGAAACCCUUGUAGUCC